UGACGAGCCUCUGGAGAGACUUCGCAUGUUGCGGAGCACCGAAGGAGCAAGCCUUGCCGUGCAAGGUGAAACUCUCAGGUACCAAGGACAGAGUGAGUGUA
This 101-nucleotide non-coding RNA is filed under the name Desulfovibrio sp. RNAcentral's name for it is "Glycine sequence". It matches the Rfam family "Glycine riboswitch aptamer". From Rfam's summary of the family: This family represents the bacterial glycine riboswitch. Glycine riboswitches usually consist of two metabolite-binding aptamers domains with similar structures in tandem. Lineage: Bacteria; Pseudomonadati; Thermodesulfobacteriota; Desulfovibrionia; Desulfovibrionales; Desulfovibrionaceae. The record is from RNAcentral. RNAcentral also lists the same sequence under 1 other name.